This 553-nucleotide ribosomal RNA is filed under the name uncultured archaeon. RNAcentral describes it as "bacterial SSU rRNA". It matches the Rfam family "Archaeal small subunit ribosomal RNA", at positions 326 to 879 of the family's 1478-position model. The record is from RNAcentral.
CGGGGUGCAGCAGGCGCGAAAACUUUACAAUGCCGGCAACGGCGAUAAGGGAACCUCGAGUGCCAGGUUACAAAUCUGGCUGUCGUGAUGCCUAAAAAGCAUUGCAUAGCAAGGGCCGGGCAAGACCGGUGCCAGCCGCCGCGGUAACACCGGCGGCUCGAGUGGUAACCGUUAUUAUUGGGUCUAAAGGGUCUGUAGCCGGCCGGAUAAGUCUCUUGGGAAAUCUGGCAGCUUAACUGUCAGGCUUUCAGGAGAUACUGUCUGGCUCGAGGCCGGGAGAGGUGAAAGGUACUUCAGGGGUAGGGGUGAAAUCUUGUAAUCCUUGAAGGACCACCAGUGGCGAAGGCGUCUCACCAGAACGGACCUGACGGCAAGGGACGAAAGCUAGGGGCACGAACCGGAUUAGAUACCCGGGUAGUCCUAGCCGUAAACGAUACUCGCUAGGUGUCGGCCACGGUGCGACCGUGGUCGGUGCCGUAGGGAAGCCGUGAAGCGAGCCACCUGGGAAGUACGGCCGCAAGGCUGAAACUUAAAGGAAUUGGCGGGGGAGCAC